AUCUGCCUAUUAGUGGGGGACAACGUUUCGAAAGGAACGCUAAUACCGCAUACGUCCUACGGGAGAAAGCAGGGGACCUUCGGGCCUUGCGCUAAUAGAUGAGCCUAGGUCGGAUUAGCUAGUUGGUGAGGUAAUGGCUCACCAAGGCGACGAUCCGUAACUGGUCUGAGAGGAUGAUCAGUCACACUGGAACUGAGACACGGUCCAGACUCCUACGGGAGGCAGCAGUGGGGAAUAUUGGACAAUGGGCGAAAGCCUGAUCCAGCCAUGCCGCGUGUGUGAAGAAGGUCUUCGGAUUGUAAAGCACUUUAAGUUGGGAGGAAGGGUUGUAGAUUAAUACUCUGCAAUUUUGACGUUACCGACAGAAUAAGCACCGGCUAACUCUGUGCCAGCAGCCGCGGUAAUACAGAGGGUGCAAGCGUUAAUCGGAAUUACUGGGCGUAAAGCGCGCGUAGGUGGUUUGUUAAGUUGGAUGUGAAAGCCCCGGGCUCAACCUGGGAACUGCAUCCAAAACUGGCAAGCUAGAGUACGGUAGAGGGUGGUGGAAUUUCCUGUGUAGCGGUGAAAUGCGUAGAUAUAGGAAGGAACACCAGUGGCGAAGGCGACCACCUGGACUGAUACUGACACUGAGGUGCGAAAGCGUGGGGAGCAAACAGGAUUAGAUACCCUGGUAGUCCACGCCGUAAACGAUGUCAACUAGCCGUUGGAAUCCUUGAGAUUUUAGUGGCGCAGCUAACGCAUUAAGUUGACCGCCUGGGGAGUACGGCCGCAAGGUUAAAACUCAA
This 785-nucleotide ribosomal RNA is filed under the name Pseudomonas sp. RNAcentral describes it as "bacterial SSU rRNA". It matches the Rfam family "Bacterial small subunit ribosomal RNA", at positions 124 to 904 of the family's 1533-position model. Lineage: Bacteria; Pseudomonadati; Pseudomonadota; Gammaproteobacteria; Pseudomonadales; Pseudomonadaceae. The record is from RNAcentral.